RNAcentral lists this non-coding RNA (20 nucleotides) under Arabidopsis thaliana (thale cress). The record is from RNAcentral. Lineage: Eukaryota; Viridiplantae; Streptophyta; Magnoliopsida; Brassicales; Brassicaceae.
UUGAGGUGUCGUCCAUUUUA